UCCGGCGUGGUCUAGUGGCUAGGAUACCUUUCCUUCACUCAGGAGGCCCGGGUUCGAUUCCCGGCGUCGGAA
This is a non-coding RNA of Ixodes scapularis (black-legged tick), 72 nucleotides long. NCBI's taxonomy places the organism in Eukaryota, Metazoa, Arthropoda, Arachnida, Ixodida, Ixodidae. The record is from Rfam.